RNAcentral lists this ribosomal RNA (550 nucleotides) under uncultured bacterium. RNAcentral describes it as "partial 16S ribosomal RNA". It matches the Rfam family "Bacterial small subunit ribosomal RNA", at positions 355 to 895 of the family's 1533-position model. The record is from RNAcentral.
UAGGGAAUCUUCCACAAUGGACGCAAGUCUGAUGGAGCAACGCCGCGUGAGUGAAGAAGGUUUUCGGACCGUAAAGCUCUGUUGUUGGUGAAGAAGGAUAGAGGUAGUAACUGGCCUUUAUUUGACGGUAAUCAACCAGAAAGUCACGGCUAACUACGUGCCAGCAGCCGCGGUAAUACGUAGGUGGCAAGCGUUGUCCGGAUUUAUUGGGCGUAAAGCGAGCGCAGGCGGAAGAAUAAGUCUGAUGUGAAAGCCCUCGGCUUAACCGAGGAAUUGCAUCGGAAACUGUUUUCUUGAGUGCAGAAGAGGAGAGUAGAACUCCAUGUGUAGCGGUGGAAUGCGUAGAUAUAUGGAAGAAUACCAGUGGCGAAGGCGGCUCUCUGGUCUGCAACUGACGCUGAGGCUCGAAAAGCAUGGGUAGCGAACAGGAUUAGAUACCCUGGUAGUCCAUGCCGUAAACGAUGAGUGCUAAGUGUUGGGAGGCUUCCGCCUCUCAGUGCUGCAGCUAACGCAUUAAGCACUCCGCCUGGGGGAGUACGACCGCAAGGUU